UACGAAGGUCCCAAGCGUUAUCCGGAUUUAUUGGGUUUAAAGGGUGCGUAGGCGGACUAUUAAGUCAGUGGUGAAAGCCCCAGGCCUAACCUGGGAAUUGCCAUUGAUACUGAUGAUCUUGAGUACAUUUGAGGCGGGCGGAAUGUGUCAUGUAGCGGUGAAAUGCUUAGAUAUGACACAGAACACCGAUUGCGUAGGCAGCUCGCUAAACUGUAACUGACGCUGAGGCACGAAAGCGUGGGGAGCAAACAGG
Molecule: ribosomal RNA, 253 nt
Filed under: uncultured bacterium
Lineage: Bacteria
Description: partial 16S ribosomal RNA
Rfam family: Bacterial small subunit ribosomal RNA
Source: RNAcentral